GCACUGGUAGUUCAGUGGUAGAAUGCUCACUUUUCAUAUGUGACACUUGGGUUCGAUUUCCAGCCAGCACA
Molecule: transfer RNA, 71 nt
Filed under: Loxodonta africana (African savanna elephant)
Lineage: Eukaryota; Metazoa; Chordata; Mammalia; Proboscidea; Elephantidae
Rfam family: tRNA
About the family: Transfer RNA (tRNA) molecules are approximately 80 nucleotides in length. Their secondary structure includes four short double-helical elements and three loops (D, anti-codon, and T loops). Further hydrogen bonds mediate the characteristic L-shaped molecular structure. tRNAs have two regions of fundamental functional importance: the anti-codon, which is responsible for specific mRNA codon recognition, and the 3' end, to which the tRNAs corresponding amino acid is attached (by aminoacyl-tRNA synthetases). tRNAs cope with the degeneracy of the genetic code in two manners: having more than one tRNA (with a specific anti-codon) for a particular amino acid; and 'wobble' base-pairing, i.e. permitting non-standard base-pairing at the 3rd anti-codon position.
Source: Rfam by way of RNAcentral